This 590-nucleotide long non-coding RNA is filed under the name Mus pahari (shrew mouse). RNAcentral describes it as "lncRNA (MGP_PahariEiJ_G0003216.1)". The record is from RNAcentral. Lineage: Eukaryota; Metazoa; Chordata; Mammalia; Rodentia; Muridae.
ACAAAACAGCACACGCGUGGCAUGUAGCUGGGGUGCACACUGCUGAGAAUGUGGGUCAGUGACAAUGGACGAAAGUCCCCUGCUCACACAGCAGCACAAGGCUCCCUGACAGCACUGACAGAAGACCCCCGAGGCUGCGGGCUCCUUUGCGAGGCAUCUGAACAACACUCCAGGCUGUACAGUGUCUCAUGUGCCCAGGUUGGUCCUGAACCUGCGGUGUGGCUCAGGGUUGCCGGAGAGCUAUCUGCGAGUAUGAAACAAGAGAAGAAACAAGCAGAAACGAGAGCGCCGGCCUCAAGCUGAAGAGAUGGCUUAGAGGUUAAGAGCAUGAACUAGUCUUCCAGACUGAUUCCCAGAGGCCACAUCAGAUGGCUCACAACCACAUGUGACUCCAGCUCCAUCAGGCCUCUGUGGAUGCCCGCAUCGAGUGUGUGUCCGUGCUCAUACACAUGCACGUGUAUACAGAUGCUCAUGAGGACAGAGUUAGUUACCAGUUGCCUGAUGUCAGUGCUGGGACCACAUCCAGUGCUCUGCAAGCACUGCAGUAGCUUUUACUCACUGAGACAGUUCUCUAGGCCCCCAAAUUAUGA